RNAcentral lists this ribosomal RNA (517 nucleotides) under uncultured Entrophospora. RNAcentral describes it as "SSU rRNA". It matches the Rfam family "Eukaryotic small subunit ribosomal RNA", at positions 569 to 1082 of the family's 1831-position model. Lineage: Eukaryota; Fungi; Glomeromycota; Glomeromycetes; Entrophosporales; Entrophosporaceae. The record is from RNAcentral.
AGCAGCCGCGGUAAUUCCAGCUCCAAUAGCGUAUAUUAAAGUUGUUGCAGUUAAAAAGCUCGUAGUUGAAUUUCGGGAUUGACGUGAUGGUCGUGCCUUAAGGGGUAUGAACUGCUGCUGUUGAUUUCUCACCUUCUGGAGAAACUUGAUGUCCUUAAUUGGGUGUCUUGCGGAUCCAGGACCUUUACCUUGAAAAAAUUAGAGUGUUUAAAGCAGGCAUUUUGCUCGAAUACAUUAGCAUGGAAUAAUAGAAUAGGACGGCAUGGUUCUAUUUUGUUGGUUUCUAGGAUCACCGUAAUGAUUAAUAGGGAUAGUUGGGGGCAUUAGUAUUCAAUUGUCAGAGGUGAAAUUCUUGGAUUUAUUGAAGACUAACUACUGCGAAAGCAUUUGCCAAGGAUGUUUUCAUUAAUCAAGAACGAAAGUUAGGGGAUCGAAGACGAUCAGAUACCGUCGUAGUCUUAACCAUAAACUAUGCCGACUAGGAAUCAGACGAUGUUAAUUUUUAAUGACUCGUUUG